Ostrinia nubilalis (European corn borer) is the source of this 262-nucleotide long non-coding RNA. RefSeq lists it as uncharacterized. The transcript has 2 exons. The record is from RefSeq and is a predicted model, not a curated record. Lineage: Eukaryota; Metazoa; Arthropoda; Insecta; Lepidoptera; Crambidae.
AGCCCUGGAUCAGAAACAACAAAAUCUGCGGCCUAAACAACACAGGAGUUCUGUUCCAGAGAUGUCACCGCAGUGAAAACCGUGACAGAACAACAAACCCUAGUGCUAGCCUCAGUGUAUAUGCCAAGUGAGGAUGCAGUUCCCUCACAAGAACUCACCGCACUGGUACAACACUGUAGAGAGCAGGCCUGGGGCUUGAUCAUCUCCGCAGACUGCAACGCACACCACCCGCUGUGGGGAAGUACGGAUACAAACAAAAGGG